GCCAUACAUUCAUCAUCCUCUAUAUUCUCUUUUAAUAAAAAUAAAAAAAAUCUUAUGUCAAAACUUCAAUUCAAUCUUAAUUUAUUCUAUAACAACCAAUUAAUAAUCAAAUUGGCCAAGAAUCAUGUUUUUUAUAUAUAAAUAAAAUAUGUCAAAGUACAUUAUUACUUUAUGAGAAAAAUAAUCAAUUCAAGAAACAUAUCUUUAUAUUACAUACACACAAGUAAAUAACCUAUAAAUGUUUUUACAAAAUUAUUAUUUUAAAAUAAAUUCGACCAACAUCAAACAAUUCUAAUAUUACUCAAGUUUCUUGAUAUCUCUCAAAUCGUCUCUUCUAUGAAUUCUAAUACAUUCCUAUAAUUCUAAAAAAUCCUUAAUCUUUACUUUAAAAUAUCUUUUCACCACCUUCUCACAAUUAAACUAAUUAUUAUAAAUUCCAAAGACAAAUCCUCUUCUUUCUAUAUAAUACUUCUUAAUUAAAUUUUUUGAAGCUA
Molecule: long non-coding RNA, 494 nt
Filed under: Physcomitrium patens
Lineage: Eukaryota; Viridiplantae; Streptophyta; Bryopsida; Funariales; Funariaceae
Description: long non-coding RNA (PPAT_LNC005438)
Source: RNAcentral